UCCGUUUGAUUUAUUACUUUCUGAGUUUGACAGAAACGAGCCUGAUUAAACAACAAAUAAUAACGGAAUGAAAGUAAGUUGAAAACGCUUAACGCAUAUCAUCAUUAAGGACUUUUUGAGAAAACCCAUAGCCUUGCUAUAAUUAACAGACCUCAGUUCAAGAAAAAAUCAUGCACAAGAUUUUAAUUAUUCUGUUACUUUUUGCGAUUGUUGGUACCGCUUAUAUGAAAUGUACAACUGACUGCAGAUUCCCUCAAUGCAUACAAGAUUGCGACAUAAAUGAAAAAGAUAUAAGAGGAGAAUGUUCUUGUUGUGCAGUAUGUGUACCUUUGAAUGAAAAAUGAUAUGAAAUAUUAUAGAAAAAAUGAUGAUAUCGAUUGCAAUGUUAGCAAGAAAUGGAAAAAUGAAAGAUAAUGUGACAUAAAGCUUCCAAACAAAUAAAAUUAUUUGAUUCUAAA
Molecule: long non-coding RNA, 458 nt
Organism: Parasteatoda tepidariorum (common house spider)
Lineage: Eukaryota; Metazoa; Arthropoda; Arachnida; Araneae; Theridiidae
Source: RefSeq, a predicted model, not a curated record